GGGGGUUUCAACUUUAGUUGGAUGUACCUAGUAGUUCUUGUCUUUACCAAAAGGGGAGAAACUGGACAAAAUACAUUUCAAGAUUGCAUGAAUUCUUAUGGAACAGGAGAAUGGGAAAUAAUUGAAUUUUAGUUUUCAAGUUUGCUAGAAUUUUAGUUGAAUUCUAUUUCUGCUCGUGUUUUACGUCUUAUGCUAGCAACUUAAUGGAGCGUCAGAAUAACAACUUAGUAGAAUGAUCAUGCACUUCCUUUUUGAAUCGAGACAAAAUAAUCUUUGAUCUGCACUGUCGUCAUCAUUUUUUUUCCCAUUUGUUUGGCAGCGUAGGAUUGUGUUUUCAGAAUUAAGGAUGGUCGAGUUUCAAUUUAUUCUAGAUUAAUAAAUAACAUUAUUGGAAAAGACAAGCAUGGAAAUAAUGCCACCCAUGAAAGACUGUGGUUUCUAUUGAUUUUUGGGUUGUUGGUGGGAGUGACAAACUUUCUAUCUACAUUUGGUGAUAGGUUUUUUCUGUCAAGGCUCCUUUAAAAGUUACCUUUUCACAUUUGUCUUAUUUCUAAUGACAACACAAUUAUGUCCGGUUUGCAUCUAAUCAUGCAUUUAAUAUUUGUGAAAACAAUGUGGGAUAUGGAGUAUGUUGUCUGCAAAAGCUUAUCUUAAGAUUUGGUACUUUAUCAUGAUAAAUGGCAUGGUUGAAAAAGAUGCUGUGUCAAGCGUGUCUUAGAGGUAAAGGAUGGCGGUCUUUGGGAGACUAUUUGACAUGCCAACAUAGCAUCUGGGCGAUGUACUUGUGAAUUUCUGCUUUGGUGAAGAAUGGUAAAUUGAUAAGACUAUAAAUGUGGGAUUCACUGGGAAGGGUGAACACGUAAACAGAUUAAUUGGCUCUGGAUAAAUUGUAUUUGCUGAAAUGGCACUGUGAAACCAUCCAUAUACUAGUUAGGUGAUGCUUUUUUUUGUUUAGGGUUUUGUGGUCUUUUAUGAUUUUGGUUCUAUUAGUUGCUGGCAUAGAUAUGCUGUGUGUUUGGAAAACUUUAAAAAUGCUGGAAUUCAAUUCAAUUAAAUUCAUUUUACUCAAUUCUAAUGCUUGGAAACCACUUAAGAAGGUGUUAUUUUACUCAAUUGAAAGUCACAGUUUGGUAUAGUGGUGGUGUCCCUUUUUAUAUGUUAGGAUAGUAUAGGAAAGUAGGCAUAUUCCAUCUUUUUUUUGUUUUAAUUAUUCCAAAC
This 1218-nucleotide unclassified non-coding RNA is filed under the name Hevea brasiliensis (rubber tree). The record is from RNAcentral. Lineage: Eukaryota; Viridiplantae; Streptophyta; Magnoliopsida; Malpighiales; Euphorbiaceae.